Molecule: long non-coding RNA, 1221 nt
Filed under: Bemisia tabaci
Lineage: Eukaryota; Metazoa; Arthropoda; Insecta; Hemiptera; Aleyrodidae
Description: lncRNA ENSSWEETPG004787
Source: RNAcentral
GCACUGCGGUUCUCCUGACCGUACUUUUUUUUUCAGUGUAAAGUUUUGGGACAUCAGUGAUUCUGGAAAUAUGAAUACAGCAACUUUAACAGUUUUGAAUUUGAUUCGCGUAUAGUUUUUAAUUUUAUGCGAUUGUUAGAAGUUGAUAACUGUUUUUUUAUUCCUCUUGGUAAAAAAGUGCGACUUUUAAUUUCAUCUGUAGAUGUUCUUCACUCUUGAACUGUACCUGUAUUUGGGGUGAAAGUUUAUUCUGUUCCUGGGAGGGAUCUGACUUUUGUUGAAUUUAUUUUCCAUUCCGAAGAAAAGUUUCCGUUUUAAAAUUUUAAUUUCAAUGGGCUCGUGGAGAUUUUUAAAUUUAUCCAUUUCACGAAAGUCAAACUUUUGAUUUAAUUUUUUUUUUUGACACAACAUAUGAAAAAAAUAUGUUUAACUUAAACAAAUCAUGGAAAAACGGUUGAGUCAUUCACAAAUUAAGUAAAUUGAUCAAAAUUUUUACCGAAUAGACGGUCUUUCUUUUGCACGAUCAAUCGAAAUCGGAGAGAUCAAGUAUUUUUGAGGUUAUGAACGACGCUGUUUGUAGCACGAGAUGAUAAGAAAUCUAGUGAACACUGUUGAAUCUUAGUUUUCAUUUGAUAAGAGGUCAAAUUCUUAAAGUAUGAUUUUUCAAUCCAUAUGUACUAAUUACUACUUGUAUUUUUAUUCCAUCUUUUGCUUUUGUAGAAACUGCUAUGGGAAUCAAAAUUGACGCUUUGAAGAAUCCCAACCACAACUACAUUCGGGCCGUUGAGGAUACCAGUACAAUGUUAAUGACCAGAAUGACGAACCCUGGCUAUGGAAUGAAGUGCUUUUUUUCCUGUCCCAACUGGGCGAAAACACUGGCUGGAUUUGAGCACGAUUUUUGAACUUACCAAUAUGGUGAGUUUGAUAACUCAAGUUAAGCAGCAUCUUAAAAUUUUAGGGGGAACGGAUACUCACACAAUGAAAGUACCUUGUAGUCGCUGGCAUUGUUUAUUUGAGGUUGGCCUUCAAAUCAUAGGAUAGGCAACGGCAACACGCCUACCGAAAAACACGGAGAGGUAUUUUUUUAAGGAUUAUAUGUUCUCCAUGCCUCCACGGACCAAUAUGAGAUGCGUAAACCUAUUCAUGAAAAUUCUCCACAUUAAUAUCUAUACUAAUAAAGCAGACUUCACGUGACUCACUCACUCACUCACUAUCAGCGGA